CCUACGGGAGGCAGCAGUGAGGAAUAUUGGUCAAUGGGCUUACGCCUGAACCAGCCAAGUCGCGUGAGGGAAGACUGCCCUAUGGGUUGUAAACCUCUUUUGUCAGGGAGCAACGCCGGCUACGUGUAGCCGGACUGAGAGUACCUGAAGAAAAAGCAUCGGCUAACUCCGUGCCAGCAGCCGCGGUAAUACGGAGGAUGCGAGCGUUAUCGGGAUUUAUUGGGGUAAAAGGGUGCUGAGGCGGAAUGCCAAGUCAGCGGUAAAAUCGCGGGGCUCAACCUCGCUCCGCUGUUGAAACUGGGGUUCUUGAGUGGGCGAGAAGUAGGGGGAAUGCGUGGUGUAGCGGUGAAAUGCAUAGAUAUCACGCAGAACUCCGAUUGCGAAGGCAGCAUACCGGCGCCCAACUGACGCUGAAGCACGAAAGCGUGGGGAUCGAACAGGAUUAGAUACCCCUGUAGUC
RNAcentral lists this ribosomal RNA (460 nucleotides) under uncultured bacterium. RNAcentral's name for it is "partial 16S ribosomal RNA". It matches the Rfam family "Bacterial small subunit ribosomal RNA", at positions 338 to 795 of the family's 1533-position model. The record is from RNAcentral.